GAAAUUCAAUUGUUUCUUGGUAGAUAUCUUUGGUGCACAACUAAUGAAUGAAGUGUAAUAUUUUGGAGGGACGCCCAUGAUCAACAAAUUAUGAAUCAGUUUGUUUUAAAACUUUUGCUUAUGUAUUUUGUCUUGCAAUAUACUCGUACUUUUGGGAUAUUGAUAUUUUAGCUUUAUGUAGCGAACAUAUUAAAAAUAUUUGAAUUUAUGUUAAGGUAUAAUUUUUAA
Long non-coding RNA from Humulus lupulus (European hop), 228 nucleotides. RefSeq lists it as uncharacterized. The record is from RefSeq and is a predicted model, not a curated record. NCBI's taxonomy places the organism in Eukaryota, Viridiplantae, Streptophyta, Magnoliopsida, Rosales, Cannabaceae. The transcript is spliced from 2 exons.